Molecule: long non-coding RNA, 1787 nt
Filed under: Zostera marina
Lineage: Eukaryota; Viridiplantae; Streptophyta; Magnoliopsida; Alismatales; Zosteraceae
Description: long non-coding RNA (ZMAR_LNC005671)
Source: RNAcentral
GAAAAUCUUUGAAUCGAAUCCCCUUGCCUGUGUAUGCCCUGUCGCCUGUCACAUAUUGAGCUCGAUGUUCUUCGCCUUCGUUGUUCAAAGUCUAUUAGUUUUUGUUUAUGUUAGUGACCUAGGUUGUCUUCUGUGAUAAAUUUCGUUUUCCCAUUUUGUUUUUCUUGUCUCGUCUUCCUCCCGUCAUCUAUUUCUUAAGAACUCAUUAGGGUUUCAUCGAUUUCUGAAGACCAGUCGUCGGCCUUCACUAAGAACAGGUCAGUAAGUAUAUUUUUUUGUUAUUGUACUACUAAAAUGAUUUAUCUUCCCAUUUAGUAGUACUAUUGUAACAUCCGUAACCCAUUCUUGCCAAAAUCCCUUUCGUUUUCUUGGUAGCAAGUUCAGAUUCCCCAAAAUGUCGAUUCUCCAUACUUUCUCAGUUGCAUUAAUAAUUUGAUACAAAGAAUGCAGUAGGGUCAUAUUAAUUCAGGACAAACUGUAAAAAUUUAAAAUACAGAGAAGAUUAAAAUAGAAGAGGCGAAGUUCAGAACAAACUGUAAAACCCAUCGUAUGUAAAUCGAUUCCUCUAGAAUAAGUUCUUAACACUACUCUCUCCAAAUUAAAGGAUUGAAGAGAUGGGUGUGAAUUUUUAUUAUGUCUUUUAUAAAAAGUAACUUUGGUUAGAUCAUUGUUGAUUAAUCGGACAGAUAUAUGAACUAAACAUAAUUUGAUACAUGUAGUUAGGUGAUGAUCAUACCUUUUUUUAUACUAUACGCCCACACUAUCAUAAUUAUGUCAAUUUCAUAUAAAACUUUUGUUAGAUCAUACUCCAAGUUCAUUAACAUUUAUGACAUAUGUUACAGAGUACAAAACUUUUGCAAUGUUCAUUUUUGCAGGACUACGCUUUAUUUCAUCAGGAUCCAGUUAGUAGUUGUUGGUUUGUUGAUUUUAAUUUUUUCAUAAUAUUGUCUUUACUUUUUGUACUAUCUUCUUAAUAUGGGCGAUCCCCAAACAAUCCGUCAUAGUCGAUCCCCAAAAAAUCCUUCAACUGACAACCACAUUAUAGGCUCUUCAGUUAUUCAUAAAUCUGAUGAAAAUUUGGAGGUCGCUUCACUCUUUAAGAAUCAGCCAGACCAAGGUCCAUUCUCAAAUGAAAAAACAGAUAUUCUGUCAUCAUCUAUUUUGCAAACUAAUCUAGAGUACAUUAAGAAAUCAGCCAAAAAUGCUAUACAGUCUAAGGUCGCCCCGACCGCAGUCGUUGCCCCUAGGCAAAUUGUUAAUGAUCUAGAACUAGCUAUUUGACCUUUCUUUUGGAAACUAGAAUGCUACUAUUAAGUGUUCUGAAAACCAUACAAUUUCCGAGAAUGUAGAAGAUGUCGAUUGUGAAAUAGUUAAAUUUAUACCUAGUUCGAAUACCCCUAGUAUCCUUCCUAAAUCUGUUGUGUUACGAACACUACGAUCGGGUAAAGUAUUAAUUUCAAAUGAUAGAUCAAUAGGAAAUUCUCAUCGAGUAUCUAGGAGUGUCACUUUGUGUUCAACAACAAAAAACUUCGUCGGUCGGAAGAUUGUUACCCAUAAGGCUAGAAUUGUAAGAUCUCCUACAACGUCUUCCAUUGUUUGUGUGGAAAGAGGUCAUGGUUUGUAUAUUUUUUCUGAUAGUUAUUAUUUUCUAUAUUGAUGAAGUGAAUAAAUGAAAUUACUAUGGAUGAAUUCUGCAAACAGAUAUGGACAGUCCAAGGGAUGAUAACAUGAUUGUUGAUGAUUUGCCAGAUGACAUGCCUCUGAGUGCUUUCAUCAGGAAGAAGAGG